This is a small nucleolar RNA of Pteropus vampyrus (large flying fox), 90 nucleotides long. The record is from Ensembl. NCBI's taxonomy places the organism in Eukaryota, Metazoa, Chordata, Mammalia, Chiroptera, Pteropodidae.
AGGCCUCCAUGAUGUCAGCACUGGGCUCCGACCUCCCAUGAGGACACGGUGCACCCCGGGACCUUUGACACCCAGGGGUCUGAGGGGCCU